Molecule: ribosomal RNA, 245 nt
Filed under: uncultured Lactobacillus sp.
Lineage: Bacteria; Bacillati; Bacillota; Bacilli; Lactobacillales; Lactobacillaceae
Description: partial 16S ribosomal RNA
Rfam family: Bacterial small subunit ribosomal RNA
Source: RNAcentral
UGGGGAACCUGCCCCAUAGUCUGGGAUACCACUUGGAAACAGGUGCUAAUACCGGAUAAGAAAGCGGAUCGCAUGAUCAGCUUUUAAAAGGAGGCGUAAGCUGUCGCUAUGGGAUGGCCCCGCGGUGCAUUAGCUAGUUGGUAAGGUAAAGGCUUACCAAGGCGAUGAUGCAUAGCCGAGUUGAGAGACUGAUCGGCCACAUUGGGACUGAGACACGGCCCAAACUCCUACGGGAGGCAGCAGAC